ACUUCCCAGCCAAGACAGGUGAUGAGCACAAGAACUACCCAGAACAAUGUGGCCUGGGAUUCCUGAUACAGCAGCAACUUUCUGAUCAAAAACAGGAAAGACAGGACAUCAUUCAAAGCUCAGGCUCUAUGAUAACAUGAACAUUACACCCAAGCACAGUUGGAGACGCAUCUCACGUAUGGUAACAAUCUGCCAGCCCCCCGAAAACGGCUGACAAGGCCUUAAAGGGUUUGUGCGCCAAAUAAGAAGCAAUCUUUAGAAAGCAGGUCUGUGUGGGACAUCAGUUAUCACACAUAACGUUUGGUUAAAUGAUUCGUGUGGAUUCUCAGAAACCAGUAAACUCAGGAUGUAAAUCUUCAUGUGACCAGAGCAUAUGGCCUUUAAAAAUAAAGCAUAGAGUGAAUGGCAGGCAACCAGGCAGCCUAUCUUCUGUAAAAUCUGAUUGAGGGAAUCCUCUGAGAACUUUCUCUAACACACAGCUGGAAGGAUUUUAAAGGCUGACCUACUGUUUCCCUGAAGGGACAGAUGGAAUAAAUACUUUUACAGGGCCUGCUCCCCCCCACCCCUGGCCUCUUUCCAGGUGCAAACUUAAUGAAAGCAGUGGGCCUCUGUCUGAGGCAUUUUUUUCAGGGCAAAAUCCUGACUUCCUUGAGCUGCUUCACUGAUUUAUAUGGGGACAGUCCAGGUGAAUAAGGCAAAAAAAAUU
This is a long non-coding RNA of Gavialis gangeticus (Gharial), 706 nucleotides long. RefSeq lists it as uncharacterized. Lineage: Eukaryota; Metazoa; Chordata; Crocodylia; Gavialidae. The record is from RefSeq and is a predicted model, not a curated record. The transcript has 2 exons.